AAUUGUCAAAUAUGGGUCUGUUGUUUCUAUUGCCAUGCUCCAUUGAAAUUACAUGAAGUUUCCAUGUAACCCGUGAAACAUAUUUAUCAAAAUAAAAAGGUACUACGCCUACCAGCUAAUUCAAUGGCGACCCUUCACCAACCAUUAAGGCCUUUUCCAUCAGUUAGGCAUUUAUAACUGAGUUGAUGCACAACACAAGAGUUCACACUCACAAUAUCCUCUAACCACAUUCUUCCGAUUCAAAACCAUUACAAGCAAUCAUUAUGUCAACUCAAACUUCACCGGAAAAUCUCACCAUCGAUCCCUACAAGCACCUCCGCAUCAUCCCUCUCUCUGAUGGCACCAUUACUCGCUUACCAGAAAUUACAAACUUAUUGCCCAGACCUCAACACCCUAUUCCUAUCCUCACCAAAGACAUCACCAUUAAUCAAUCAAAUAACACAUGGGCCCGGAUAUUCCUACCCCAACAAACACUAGAUUACACUUCCUCCCACACCAAGCUUCCUCUUAUUGUUUGGUUCCACGGAGGAGGGUUCAUACUUUUCAGCGCAGCUUCAACCUUUUUCCACGAUUAUUGUGCAAGCCUUGCUAUUGAGCUCACUGCUGUUGUCGUUUCCAUAGAGUAUCGCCUCGCCCCCGAGCACCGUCUUCCAGCUGCCUAUGAGGACGCUGUGGAGGCAUUACACUGGAUUAAAUCAAGCCCUGAUGAGUGGUUGAGAGACUUUGCUGAUCUCAGAAAAUGUUUCCUUAUGGGGGCUAGCGCCGGCGCUAAUAUAGCUUACCAUGCUGGACUACGAGUAGCUGAGACAGUCGAACAUCUAGAGCCCUUAAAGAUUGAAGGGCUAAUAUUGCACCAACCCUUCUUCGGUGGGUCAAAGAGGACUGAAUCGGAAUUGAGGAUGAUGAACGAUCCCAUUUUACCACUUUGUUCCAAUGAUCUGAUGUGGGAAUUAGCUUUGCCAAUUGGUGCUGACCGUGAUCAUGAGUUUUGCAAUCCAACGGUGAAGGGAGAUUCAAAGGCGCUGACUAAAAUGAGGCAGUUAGGGUGGAGGAUCUUCGUUCAUUGGGGUGAUAGAGAUCCUCUGAUGGAUCGUCAAGUUUUGUUGGUAAAAAUGCUAAGUGAGAAAGGUUUAGUAGUUGUGAAUCAUUCUUCGGAGGGACAUUUUCAUGGGGUAGAGUUAGUUGAGCCCUCCAAAUGCACGGGCCUGUAUGUGGCUUACAAAAGUUUUAUAUCAUCUUCAGUGCUUGCCUAGGCUGUGAUAUACUCCUUCUCUAUCUCUAAUAAGUUCGUGUAACA
This 1297-nucleotide unclassified non-coding RNA is filed under the name Hevea brasiliensis (rubber tree). Lineage: Eukaryota; Viridiplantae; Streptophyta; Magnoliopsida; Malpighiales; Euphorbiaceae. The record is from RNAcentral.